RNAcentral lists this ribosomal RNA (216 nucleotides) under Glomeromycotina sp. RNAcentral's name for it is "partial small subunit ribosomal RNA". The stretch from base 40 to 216 matches the Rfam family "Eukaryotic small subunit ribosomal RNA", at positions 686 to 864 of the family's 1831-position model. The record is from RNAcentral. Lineage: Eukaryota; Fungi; Glomeromycota.
GGGUCAGUAGGUUGGUCGUGCCACCGGUACGUACUGGUCUCACUGAUUCCUCCUUCCUGAAGAACCGUAAUGCCAUUAAUUUGGUGUUGCGGGGAAACAGGACUGUUACUUUGAAAAAAUUAGAGUGUUUAAAGCAGGCUAACGCUUGAAUACAUUAGCAUGAAAUAAUGAAAUAGGACGAUCGAUCCUAUUUUGUUGGUUUCUAGGAUUGACGUA